CCUACGGGAGGCAGCAGUGGGGAAUAUUGCGCAAUGGGCGAAAGCCUGACGCAGCGACGCCGCGUGAGGGAUGAAGGUCUUCGGAUCGUAAACCUCUGUCAGCAGGGAAGAACGGUCACUGUGCUAAUCAGCAGUGAAUUGACGGUACCUGCAAAGGAAGCACCGGCUAACUCCGUGCCAGCAGCCGCGGUAAUACGUAGGGGGCAAGCGUUAUCCGGAUUUACUGGGUGUAAAGGGAGCGCAGGCGGCAGCGCAAGUCUGAUGUGAAAGCCCGGGGCCCAACCGCGGGACUGCAUUGGAAACUGCGCGGCUGGAGUGCCGGAGGGGUAAGCGGAAUUCCUAGUGUAGCGGUGAAAUGCGUAGAUAUUAGGAGGAACACCAGUGGCGAAGGCGGCUUACUGGACGGCAACUGACGCUGAGGCUCGAAAGCGUGGGGAGCAAACAGGAUUAGAUACCCUUGUAGUC
Molecule: ribosomal RNA, 465 nt
Filed under: uncultured bacterium
Lineage: Bacteria
Description: partial 16S ribosomal RNA
Rfam family: Bacterial small subunit ribosomal RNA
Source: RNAcentral